GAUGAACGCUGGCGGCGUGCCUAAUACAUGCAAGUCGAGCGAACGGACGAGAAGCUUGCUUCUCUGAUGUUAGCGGCGGACGGGUGAGUAACACGUGGAUAACCUACCUAUAAGACUGGGAUAACUUCGGGAAACCAGAGCUAAUACCGGAUAAUAUUUUGAACCGCAUGGUUCAAAAGUGAAAGACGGUCUUGCUGUCACUUAUAGAUGGAUCCGCGCUGCAUUAGCUAGUUGGUAAGGUAACGGCUUACCAAGGCAACGAUGCAUAGCCGACCUGAGAGGGUGAUCUGCCACACUGGAACUGAGACACGGUCCAGACUCCUACGGGAGGCAGCAGUAGGGAAUCUUCCGCAAUGGGCGAAAGCCUGACGGAGCAACGCCGCGUGAGUGAUGAAGGUCUUCGGAUCGUAAAACUCUGUUAUUAGGGAAGAACAUAUGUGUAAGUAACUGUGCACAUCUUGACGGUACCUAAUCAGAAAGCCACGGCUAACUACGUG
Molecule: ribosomal RNA, 497 nt
Filed under: uncultured bacterium
Lineage: Bacteria
Description: partial 16S ribosomal RNA
Rfam family: Bacterial small subunit ribosomal RNA
Source: RNAcentral